Molecule: ribosomal RNA, 366 nt
Filed under: uncultured organism
Description: bacterial SSU rRNA
Rfam family: Bacterial small subunit ribosomal RNA
Source: RNAcentral
CGGAGGAUCCAAGCGUUAUCCGGAAUCAUUGGGUUUAAAGGGUCCGUAGGCGGUCUAAUAAGUCAGUGGUGAAAGCCCAUCGCUCAACGAUGGAACGGCCAUUGAUACUGUUAGACUUGAAUUAUUGGGAAGUAACUAGAAUAUGUAGUGUAGCGGUGAAAUGCUUAGAUAUUACAUGGAAUACCAAUUGCGAAGGCAGGUUACUAUCAAUAUAUUGACGCUGAUGGACGAAAGCGUGGGGAGCGAACAGGAUUAGAUACCCUGGUAGUCCACGCCGUAAACGAUGGAUACUAGCUGUUCGGAGCAAUCUGAGUGGCUAAGCGAAAGUGAUAAGUAUCCCACCUGGGGAGUACGUUCGCAAGAAUG